CCAAUAGCGUAUAUUAAAGUUGUUGCAGUUAAAAAGCUCGUAGUUGAAUUUCGGGGUCAGCAGGUUGGUCGUGCCACUGGUAUGCACUGGCUUCGCUGAUUCCUCCCUCUUGUAGAACCGUAAUGCCAUUAAGUUGGUGUUGCGGGGAAACAGGACUGUUACUUUGAAAAAAUUAGAGUGUUUAAAGCAGGCUAACGCUUGAAUACAUUAGCAUGGAAUAAUGAAAUAGGACGAUCGAUCCUAUUUUGUUGGUUUCUAGGAUUGACGUAAUGAUUAAUAGGGAUAGUUGGGGGCAUUAGUAUUCAAUUGUCAGAGGUGAAAUUCUUGGAUUUAUUGAAGACUGACUACUGCGAAAGCAUUUGCCAAGGAUGUUUUCAUUAAUCAAGAACGAAAGUUAGGGGAUCGAAGACGAUCAGAUACCGUCGUAGUCUUAACCAUAAACUAUGCCGACUAGGGAUCGGAUGAUGUUAAUUUUUUAAUGACUCAUUCGGCGCCUUACG
This 500-nucleotide ribosomal RNA is filed under the name uncultured Glomeromycotina. Its description in RNAcentral is "partial small subunit ribosomal RNA". It matches the Rfam family "Eukaryotic small subunit ribosomal RNA", at positions 591 to 1092 of the family's 1831-position model. Lineage: Eukaryota; Fungi; Glomeromycota. The record is from RNAcentral.